This 1471-nucleotide ribosomal RNA is filed under the name uncultured Bordetella sp. RNAcentral's name for it is "partial 16S-23S ribosomal RNA intergenic spacer". It matches the Rfam family "Bacterial small subunit ribosomal RNA". The record is from RNAcentral. Lineage: Bacteria; Pseudomonadati; Pseudomonadota; Betaproteobacteria; Burkholderiales; Alcaligenaceae.
GGUUCGAUCAUGGCUCAGAUUGAACGCUGGCGGGAUGCUUUACACAUGCAAGUCGAACGGCAGCACGGACUUCGGUCUGGUGGCGAGUGGCGAACAGGUGAGUAAUGUAUCGGAACGUGCCUAAUGCUUGAGGGAUAACUACGCGAAAGCGUAGCUAAUACCACAUACGCCCUUCGGGGAAAGCGGGGGGACCUUCGGGCCUCGCACUAUUAGAGCGGCCGAUAUCGGAUUAGCUAGUUGGUGGGAGUAACGGCUCACCAAGGCGACGAUCCGUAGCUGGUUUGAAGGACGACCAGCCACACUGGGACUGAGACACGGCCCAGACUCCUACGGGAGGCAGCAGUGGGGGAAUUUUGGACAAUGGGGAAACCCUGAUCCAGCCAUCCCGCGUGCGAUGAAGGCCUUCGGGUUGUAAAGCACUUUUGGCAGGAAAGAAACGGCACGGGAUAAUACCCCGUGCAACUGACGGUACCUGCAGAAUAAGCACCGGCUAACUACGUGCCAGCAACCGCGGUAAUACGUAGGGUGCAAGCGUUAAUCGGAAUUACUGGGCGUAAAGCGUGCGCAGGCGGUUCGGAAGAAAGAUGUGAAAUCCCAGAGCUUAACUUUGGAACUGCAUUUUAACUACCGAGCUAGAGUGUGUCAGAGGGAGGUGGAAUUCCGCGUGUAGCAGUGAAAUGCGUAGAUAUGCGGAGGAACACCGAUGGCGAAGGCGCAACCUCCUGGGAUAACGCUGACGCUCAUGCACGAAAGCGUGGGGAGCAAACGGGAUUAGAUACCCUGGUAGUCCACGCCCUAAACGAUGUCAACUGCUGUUGGGGCCUUCGGGCCUUGGUAGCGCAGCUAACGCGUGAGUUGGCCAUGGGAAGUACGGUCGCAAGAUUAAAACUCAAAGGAAUUGACGGGGACCCGCACAAGCGGUGGAUGAUGUGGAUUAAUUCGAUGCAACGCGAAAAACCUUACCUACCCUUGACAUGUCACGAAUCCCGAAGAGAUUUGGGAGUGCUCGCAAGAGAACCGGAACACAGGUGCUGCAUGGCUGUCGUCAGCUCGUGUCGUGAGAUGUUGGGUUAAGUCCCGCAACGAGCGCAACCCUUGUCAUUAGUUGCUACGAAAGGGCACUCUAAUGAGACUGCCGGUGACAAACCGGAGGAAGGUGGGGAUGACGUCAAGUCCUCAUGGCCCUUAUGGGUAGGGCUUCACACGUCAUACAAUGGUGGGACAGAGGGUCGCCAACCCGCGAGGGGGGGCAAUCCCAGAAACCCGAUCGUAGUCCGGAUCGCAGUCUGCAACUCGACUGCGUGAAGUCGGAAUCGCUAGUAAUCGCGGAUCAGCAUGUCGCGGUGAAUACGUUCCAGGUCUUGUACACACACCAUGGGAGUGGGUUUUACCAGAAGUAGUUAGCUUCGCCGUAAGGAGGGCGAUUACCACGGUAGGAUUCAUGACUGGGGGUGAAGUCGUAACAAGGUAG